RNAcentral lists this transfer RNA (75 nucleotides) under Acidithiobacillus ferrivorans. RNAcentral describes it as "tRNA-Arg". It matches the Rfam family "tRNA". From Rfam's summary of the family: Transfer RNA (tRNA) molecules are approximately 80 nucleotides in length. The record is from RNAcentral. Lineage: Bacteria; Pseudomonadati; Pseudomonadota; Acidithiobacillia; Acidithiobacillales; Acidithiobacillaceae.
GCCCGCAUAGCUCAGCGGAAAGAGCGCAUGGCCACGAACCACGGGGCCGCAGGUUCGACUCCUGCUAGGGCACCA